Long non-coding RNA from Bos taurus (domestic cattle), 1038 nucleotides. Lineage: Eukaryota; Metazoa; Chordata; Mammalia; Artiodactyla; Bovidae. The record is from Ensembl.
GAUUGUUUGUUCAUAUUCUUUUUGCCAUACUCUGUCUUCUCCCAUGGCAGGACAAAGAGGUUCUUUGUCCUUUACUGUCCUUCACUGCAAUUCUUUUCAGUGGCUUUGAAAAAAAGAAAACGUCCCUUUCCCCACUGAUAUGGAAAAAUCUAGUUCUACCCUUAUAGCCUUUAAAAUAGGUAUGGAAUUCUUUACUAGUGGAGGGGAGCUUGCGUCAUUCUUGUAAGUCAAUCUGUUUCCUCUUCAGAAAUGUUCUUGUGAUAUUGGGAUUAUAAUUGCUUUGCUUUAUAUGUAUUGGGAGGUGAAACACUUGGGAAAUCUCACUGUUGUUGUGUUGUUGUUCAGUCACUAAGUCAUGUCUGACUCUUUGCCACGCCAUGGAUGUAGCCUGCCAGGCUUAUCUGACCAUGGGAAUCCACCUGCCAAUGCAGGAAACGUGGGUUUGAUCCCUGGCUCGGGAAGAUCUCCUGCAGGAGGGAAUGGCAACCUACUCCAGUAGUCUUGCCUGCGAAAUCCCAUGGACGGAGGAGCCUGGCGGGCUAUAGUCCAUAGUGUUGCAAAAGAGUCAGACCCAACUUACUGACUAAACCACCACCACCAUUCAUGGAGUUUAGUGAUCUCUUUUUUUUUUUUAAUUGGAGAGCAUUUACUGAUCCUAAAGUUCUAUUUUAUUGUUUUUAAUUUUAUUUUUAUUAUGUAUUUCUGGCUGCAGUUGGUCCUUGUUGCUGCGUGCGGGCUUCUCCUUCUGGGGGCUUCUCGUUGCAGAAGGCAGGCUGCAGGGCGUGUGGGCUUCAGGAGUUGCACUGCGUGUGCUUAGUCGCCUCACAGCAUGUGGGAUCUUCCUGGACCAGGGACUGAACCGGUGUCUCCUGAAUUGGCAGGCGGAUUCUCAAUCCCUGAACUACCAGGGAAGUCCCUAGUGAUCUCUUCAAUAUUAGCAGGGCAAAAGAACUAACAAGGAAGAUGGAACUGGUUAUUUCUGGAAACCUGAGAGGACGCCUGUAAAUUCACAACACCAUGGGGGGAGGCUGAUUUGUG